RNAcentral lists this transfer RNA (71 nucleotides) under Actinomycetota bacterium. Its description in RNAcentral is "Actinobacteria bacterium (sediment metagenome) tRNA-Cys". It matches the Rfam family "tRNA". Rfam says of the family: Transfer RNA (tRNA) molecules are approximately 80 nucleotides in length. Their secondary structure includes four short double-helical elements and three loops (D, anti-codon, and T loops). The record is from RNAcentral. Lineage: Bacteria; Bacillati; Actinomycetota.
GGCGGGGUGGCCGAGUGGUUAGGCAGGGGUCUGCAAAACCCCGCACAGCGGUUCGAUUCCGCUCCCCGCCU